CCCUUCGGGGUGGAUUAGUGGCGAACGGGUGAGUAACACGUGGGCAAUCUGCCCUUCACUCUGGGACAAGCCCUGGAAACGGGGUCUAAUACCGGAUAACACUCUGUCCCGCAUGGGACGGGGUUAAAAGCUCCGGCGGUGAAGGAUGAGCCCGCGGCCUAUCAGCUUGUUGGUGGGGUAAUGGCCUACCAAGGCGACGACGGGUAGCCGGCCUGAGAGGGCGACCGGCCACACUGGGACUGAGACACGGCCCAGACUCCUACGGGAGGCAGCAGUGGGGAAUAUUGCACAAUGGGCGAAAGCCUGAUGCAGCGACGCCGCGUGAGGGAUGACGGCCUUCGGGUUGUAAACCUCUUUCAGCAGGGAAGAAGCGAAAGUGACGGUACCUGCAGAAGAAGCGCCGGCUAACUACGUGCCAGCAGCCGCGGUAAUACGUAGGGCGCAAGCGUUGUCCGGAAUUAUUGGGCGUAAAGAGCUCGUAGGCGGCUUGUCACGUCGGAUGU
This 503-nucleotide ribosomal RNA is filed under the name Streptomyces pratensis. RNAcentral's name for it is "bacterial SSU rRNA". It matches the Rfam family "Bacterial small subunit ribosomal RNA", at positions 76 to 595 of the family's 1533-position model. Lineage: Bacteria; Bacillati; Actinomycetota; Actinomycetes; Kitasatosporales; Streptomycetaceae. The record is from RNAcentral.